Long non-coding RNA from Anoplophora glabripennis (Asian longhorned beetle), 1425 nucleotides. RefSeq lists it as uncharacterized. The transcript has 2 exons. The record is from RefSeq and is a predicted model, not a curated record. Lineage: Eukaryota; Metazoa; Arthropoda; Insecta; Coleoptera; Cerambycidae.
AUUAUUUACGCUCAUACAAAAAAAAAAAACAAAUUUCUGUUUUAGCAAAAAGUUGCAAAUUUAGUUCACGAACAGAAACUACAAACAAGAAUCAAAUUGUCAUGAGCAAAAUAUCUACAAGUUUUUGUAUAUUAUUAUUAGUAUAUUUUGUGAACGAAUGCAAUUGUGUGUUUAAAUGUUGAAUUUGUGAAUGACUAUCUUAUUAUUUGAUGAGGAUUUAUAUAUAUUUGAGCUAAAAUGUACCGAAGAAACACCUAUUAGCUUUUUUCUUUAUGUUCUUGUGAAUUUAUUUUCCUUGUGUUGAUAUUUGUUUUAAUCCGUGUUUACUUCAUAUGAAUUUCAGGUCGUUAUUAAACUCCGUGGAGGUACUACGUAUUUAAAAAGGACGCAUUGUUUAGAUGUAAUAAUUUUGUAGAGGGUUUAUUCCAUUUUAUGUACAAAUUACAUACUGGAGAUACAUAUUGAAUACUGAAAUAAUUAUUUCUCCUCACAUUGGCAUAAACUCUCUCUAAUUUUAUAUUGUUUGAUUCGCGUUAAUUUUUUUUCCUGUUUAUCAAAAAGUAUGGCAAGAUCGUGCCAUUUAUUGUAAAUUUAACUAAACCAAAAAAAAAAAAUCGAGAAAUUUGAAGUUCAUUAUUAAUGGAAUGUGUUAGGUUUUAUUUUUUUUAAUUUAUGAAUGUGACAUUUAGAUAGUACCUAAUAAAUACAUAAUUCCUAGACUAAUCUUUGUUUUUUGUGUUUUUUAAAAAGGGUUAAGAACAAGAGGUUUUGGAUGAAAUUGAAAUUUUCUCAAGUUGCGUUAAACACUUCAAUGUGAAGCUAGCUAAUGUCAAUGAAUUCAGCAAUGAAUAUAAAGAAUGAAAAAAUGAAAAUCAUCAAGAGAAUUGAGAAAAUUUUUUGCAACUCUCUUGAAGAAUGAAAUUGUUUUUGUCUUUAGAAGUCAUCUAUAUAUCAUGAAUUGCAUUGAAAACAAGAUCGUUCAAGUCCCCUUCAGACUAUUCUUACCAGACCGUUAGCCAAUAAUUGCCACAAUAAAAACUAUGAACACAUUAUACCGAAAAGAUUUUCCCGAAAACUAAUCCUAUCAGUUUCAACGUCCAAAAAAUCAGCAUAAAACUUAAGAAUGUUAUGUAACAAGAAAAAAUUAUUUGUCUAGCGCCUAAUGAGGUAGUCAACUUAUUUGAAUAUUGAAGUAGUAGACUUGAGAGGAUUUUUUAAGAAAAAAAAAAUGACAAAUAUGGGCAACUUUAAUGUUGAAGUAAAGUUUGGAACUAUAUGGAUACUAUACUAUACUUUAGAAGAUGAAAUUAUGGUAUACCAUGAAUGUAUUAUAUUAUGGGGGUAACUCGAUAAACUAAGAAAAAAUUAUGAAGAAAUGUCCAUUAUUUUGUAUCUGAUAUAGUAAAAUAAAAUAAUGUAUAAAUU